This 259-nucleotide small RNA is filed under the name Arabidopsis thaliana (thale cress). RNAcentral's name for it is "ATSL077900". Lineage: Eukaryota; Viridiplantae; Streptophyta; Magnoliopsida; Brassicales; Brassicaceae. The record is from RNAcentral.
GUAUAUCUUUGGUUCUAUCCUUAAGAUAUCAUUUCAAAUAAAUACACUAGUUCAAAUGUAUUUUUACUAUGACUGCAUUUUGCGGUGCGAUUCAAAUAGUAACAAAAAUACAUAAAUACAUAUGUAUAUGUAAAGAUUUUGAUACUGUUACAGCACUGUUGCGAUACGAUUUUGGGUGCGCCGUAUAUCACCAUUCGUAUCCAUAAUGUAUCUAAAGAUGGAGAAAAAGAAACAUUAAGACUAAACCAGCUACUAUUGU